AACGCACCUUGCGCCUUUUGGUAUUCCGAAAGGCACACCUGUUUGAGUGUCAUGAACCUCUCAGCCCUAUCAUUUCUUGUAAACGGUAGUGGUCUGGAUCUUGAGCGUUGCCGUUAUAACAAUGACGGCUCGUUCGAAAUGUAUAAGCCAUCUCCUUAUAAAUCGGAUUGACUCGGCGUGAUAAUUAUUCGUCGAGGACGCUUUAACCAGCGGCCGAAAUGUACUAGAGUAGCUUCUAAACCGCCUUUGCGCAUUUUAAUUUAGACCUCAAAUCAGGUGGGACUACCCGCUGAACUUAA
RNAcentral lists this unclassified non-coding RNA (299 nucleotides) under Brunnipila sp. Its description in RNAcentral is "partial contains 5.8S ribosomal RNA, internal transcribed spacer 2, and large subunit ribosomal RNA". The stretch from base 1 to 52 matches the Rfam family "5.8S ribosomal RNA", at positions 103 to 154 of the family's 154-position model. The record is from RNAcentral. RNAcentral also lists the same sequence under 1 other name. Lineage: Eukaryota; Fungi; Ascomycota; Leotiomycetes; Helotiales; Lachnaceae.